Molecule: non-coding RNA, 21 nt
Organism: Caenorhabditis elegans
Lineage: Eukaryota; Metazoa; Nematoda; Chromadorea; Rhabditida; Rhabditidae
Source: Ensembl
UGCAUUACCGACUCAACAUAA